AGGCUUUGAUCCUGGCUCAGGAUGAACGCUGGCGGUAUGCUUAACACAUGCAAGUCGAACGGAGUACUUCGGUACUUAGUGGCGGACGGGUGAGUAACGCGUGAGAAUCUACCUUUAGGACGGGGACAACAAUUGGAAACGAUUGCUAAUACCGGAUAUGCCCUUCGGGGUGAAAGAUUGUAUCGCCUAGAGAUGAGCUCGCGUCCGAUUAGCUAGUAGGUAGUGUAAUGGACUACCUAGGCAAUGAUCGGUAGCUGGUUUGAGAGGACAAUCAGCCACACUGGGACUGAGACACGGCCCAGACUCUACGGGAGGCAGCAGUGGGGAAUUUUCCGCAAUGGGCGCAAGCCUGACGGAGCAAUACCGCGUGGGGGAGGAAGGUCUGUGGAUUGUAAACCCCUUUUCUCAGGGAAGAAGCUCUGACGGUACCUGAGGAAUAAGCAUCGGCUGAAAUC
RNAcentral lists this ribosomal RNA (455 nucleotides) under uncultured Nostoc sp. Its description in RNAcentral is "bacterial SSU rRNA". It matches the Rfam family "Bacterial small subunit ribosomal RNA", at positions 8 to 504 of the family's 1533-position model. The record is from RNAcentral. Lineage: Bacteria; Bacillati; Cyanobacteriota; Cyanophyceae; Nostocales; Nostocaceae.